UAGGGAAUCUUCGGCAAUGGGGGGAACCCUGACCGAGCAACGCCGCGUGAGUGAAGAAGGUUUUCGGAUCGUAAAGCUCUGUUGUUAAGGAAGAACGAGUGUGAGAAUGGAAAGUUCAUACUGUGACGGUACUUAACCAGAAAGGGACGGCUAACUACGUGCCAGCAGCCGCGGUAAUACGUAGGUCCCGAGCGUUGUCCGGAUUUAUUGGGCGUAAAGCGAGCGCAGGCGGUUAGAUAAGUCUGAAGUUAAAGGCAGUGGCUCAACCAUUGUAGGCUUUGGAAACUGUUUAACUUGAGUGCAGAAGGGGAGAGUGGAAUUCCAUGUGUAACGGUGAAAUGCGUAGAUAUAUGGAGGAACACCGGUCGCGAAAGCGGCUCUCUGGUCUGUAACUGACGCUGAGGCUCGAAAGCGUGGGGAGCGAACAGG
This 429-nucleotide ribosomal RNA is filed under the name Bacteroidota bacterium. RNAcentral describes it as "Bacteroidetes bacterium partial 16S ribosomal RNA". It matches the Rfam family "Bacterial small subunit ribosomal RNA", at positions 355 to 776 of the family's 1533-position model. Lineage: Bacteria; Pseudomonadati; Bacteroidota. The record is from RNAcentral.